CAGAGGUGGCAAGCGUUGUUCGGAAUUACUGGGCGUAAAGGGCGCGUAGGCGGCCAUCUAAGUCAGACGUGAAAUCCCCCGGCUUAACCUGGGAACUGCGUCUGAUACUGGACGGCUCGAGUUUGGGAGAGGGAUGCAGAAUUCCAGGUGUAGCGGUGAAAUGCGUAGAUAUCUGGAGGAAUACCGGUGGCGAAGGCGGCAUCCUGGACCAACACUGACGCUGAGGCGCGAAAGCUAGGGGAGCAAACGGGAUUAGAUACCCCGGUAGUCCUAGCCCUAAACGAUGAAUGCUUGGUGUGGCGGGUAUCGAUCCCUGCCGUGCCGAAGCUAACGCAUUAAGCAUUCCGCCUGGGGAGUACGGUCGCAAGGCUG
Molecule: ribosomal RNA, 372 nt
Filed under: uncultured organism
Description: bacterial SSU rRNA
Rfam family: Bacterial small subunit ribosomal RNA
Source: RNAcentral